This 431-nucleotide ribosomal RNA is filed under the name uncultured bacterium. RNAcentral describes it as "bacterial SSU rRNA". It matches the Rfam family "Bacterial small subunit ribosomal RNA", at positions 29 to 445 of the family's 1533-position model. The record is from RNAcentral.
AACGAACGCUGGCGGCGUGCCUAACACAUGCAAGUCGAACGAGAAAGGGGCUUCGGCUCCGAGUAAAGUGGCGCACGGGUGAGUAACACGUAGGUAACCUGCCUCUAAGAUUGGGAUAACCUGUCGAAAGACGAGCUAAUACCGAAUAGGACCACGGCUUCCUCGGAAGCAGGGGUCAAAGGUAGCCUCUACUUGUAAGCUAUCACUUAGAGAUGGGCCUGCGUACCAUUAGCUAGUUGGUGGGGAACGCCUACCAAGGCAAGAUGGUUAAGCUGGUCUGAGAGGAUGAUCAGCCACACUGGAACUGAGACACGGUCCAGACUCCUACCGGGAGGCAGCAGUGGGGAAUAUUGCGCAAUGGGCGAAAGCCUGACGCAGCAACGCCGCGUGAGUGAUGAAGGCCUUCGGUCGUAAGACUCUGUCGAGGGAAC